Molecule: ribosomal RNA, 488 nt
Filed under: Copris lugubris
Lineage: Eukaryota; Metazoa; Arthropoda; Insecta; Coleoptera; Scarabaeidae
Description: eukaryotic LSU rRNA
Rfam family: Eukaryotic large subunit ribosomal RNA
Source: RNAcentral
GGGCCCCGCACUCCCGGGGCGUCUCGUCCUCAUCGCGAGGAGAGGCGCACCCAGAGCGUACACGCUGGGACCCGAAAGAUGGUGAACUAUGCCUGGUCAGGACGAAGUCAGGGGAAACCCUGAUGGAGGUCCGUAGCGAUUCUGACGUGCAAAUCGAUCGUCGGAACUGGGUAUAGGGGCGAAAGACUAAUCGAACCUUCUAGUAGCUGGUUCCCUCCGAAGUUUCCCUCAGGAUAGCUGGCGCUCGCCUUUGCGAGUCUCAUUCGGUAAAGCGAAUGAUUAGAGGCAUUGGGGUCGAAACGGCCUCAACCUAUUCUCAAACUUUAAAUGGGUGAGAUCUCCGGCUUGCUUGAAGCGUGAAGCCGCGAGAUAUCGGAUCACAGAGUGCCAAGUGGGCCACUUUUGGUAAGCAGAACUGGCGCUGUGGGAUGAACCAAACGCCGAGUUAAAGCGCCAAAAUCGACGCUUAUGGGAUACCAUGAAAGGCG